Long non-coding RNA from Biomphalaria glabrata, 567 nucleotides. RefSeq lists it as uncharacterized. NCBI's taxonomy places the organism in Eukaryota, Metazoa, Mollusca, Gastropoda, Planorbidae. The transcript has 3 exons. The record is from RefSeq and is a predicted model, not a curated record.
CUUGAACUAAAAAACUAAACAGCUUUCACCGAAAUGCAUCCUGUACUAAGAGGACUAGUUUACAUAGCAUGUAAAAGGAAAGGUCUGACACACUAAGCUACACUGAGACUGUAAACAUACACAGCUUGACACCAAGAUACAGUUGAGUGUUUACUACAACAGCUAAUGUUCAUCUACUCCUGAAGUGUCUACGUGAUUUUUGAGUGUGCCUGUAAUUAGGAGCAAACAAGAAAAACAAAGAAAUACUUUUCUUCAAAACAAACCUUAGAAAAAAAAAACGAAUGGAAAUGUUCGAUUUCAUCGAAGAAUGGAAAAUGGGAGAAAAAAAACGUGUAGAAAAGUUUGUGACAGACAGACAGACUGAGUGGAUAGAAGCUUGGUAAGGAUCUGGCCGAAUCUCUUCAGCUCAAAUGUAGGUCGUAUUUUUUACGUGUCUUGUAGUUUAAAAAACUAUUAACAAUUUAAUAACUAAUUAAAUUGUAAUAUGUAUUCUAAGCUGUUGGUGGAGAUUUUCAUCAACGGCGGAAAAAAAAACUAUAAAUAGCAAGCGUUUUGUUUCUUGGUGUA